GAUGAACGCUGGCGGCGUGCCUAAUACAUGCAAGUCGAGCGAAUGGAUUAAGAGCUUGCUCUUAUGAAGUUAGCGGCGGACGGGUGAGUAACACGUGGGUAACCUGCCCAUAAGACUGGGAUAACUCCGGGAAACCGGGGCUAAUACCGGAUAACAUUUUGAACCGCAUGGUUCGAAAUUGAAAGGCGGCUUCGGCUGUCACUUAUGGAUGGACCCGCGUCGCAUUAGCUAGUUGGUGAGGUAACGGCUCACCAAGGCAACGAUGCGUAGCCGACCUGAGAGGGUGAUCGGCCACCCUGGGACUGAGACACGGCCCAGACUCCUACGGGAGGCAGCAGUAGGGAAUCGUCCGCGAUGGACGAAAGUCUGACGGAGCAACGCCGCGUGAGUGAUGAAGGCUUUCGGGUCGUAAAACUCUGUUGUUAGGGAAGAACAAGUGCUAGUUGAAUAAGCUGGCACCUUGACGGUACCUAACCAGAAAGCCACGGCUAACUACGUGCCAGCCGCCGCGGUAA
RNAcentral lists this ribosomal RNA (515 nucleotides) under uncultured bacterium. RNAcentral's name for it is "partial 16S ribosomal RNA". It matches the Rfam family "Bacterial small subunit ribosomal RNA", at positions 28 to 523 of the family's 1533-position model. The record is from RNAcentral.